GAGUUUGAUCUUGGCUCAGAUUGAACGCUGGCGGCAUGCCUUACACAUGCAAGUCGAACGGCAGCAUGAUCUAGCUUGCUAGAUUGAUGGCGAGUGGCGAACGGGUGAGUAAUACAUCGGAACGUGCCCUGUAGUGGGGGAUAACUAGUCGAAAGAUUAGCUAAUACCGCAUACGACCUGAGGGUGAAAGUGGGGGACCGCAAGGCCUCAUGCUAUAGGAGCGGCCGAUGUCUGAUUAGCUAGUUGGUGGGGUAAAGGCCCACCAAGGCGACGGUCAGUAGCUGGUCUGAGAGGACGAUCAGCCACACUGGGACUGAGACACGGCCCAGACUCCUACGGGAGGCAGCAGUGGGGAAUUUUGGACAAUGGGCGAAAGCCUGAUCCAGCAAUGCCGCGUGUGUGAAGAAGGCCUCGGUGUAAG
This 421-nucleotide ribosomal RNA is filed under the name uncultured microorganism. RNAcentral's name for it is "bacterial SSU rRNA". It matches the Rfam family "Bacterial small subunit ribosomal RNA", at positions 9 to 429 of the family's 1533-position model. The record is from RNAcentral.